AAGUUCAGUACCGAAGCUGCGGAUGCGACUCUUUGAGUCGCGUGGUAGCGGAGCGUCGAGCGCGCAGCGAAGCGGCGGGAUAACCCAGCCGUGGAGUGCGUUCGAGCGAGAAUGUUGGCAUGGGUAGCGAAAGAGGGGUGAGAACCCCCUCCGCCGUAUGUCCAAGGGUUCCUGGGCGAGGCCAAUCUUCCCAGGGUGAGUCGGGAGCUAAGGCGAGGCCGAGAGGCGUAGUCGAUGCACUGGUUGAUAUUCCAGUACCACCAUGUUCGCGACCGUUCCAAUACUUUGUUGCUAAGGGGCUGUGUUGACUUCGGUUAACACGAACCGACCCACAUUGUUGCGGAAAGCUAUAGGGGGACGCAGGAAGGUAGAUGAACCCGGUGAAUGGUAGAACCGGGGUAAGCGUGUAGGAGGAGGACCAGGCAAAUCCGGGCCUCAUAUACUCUGAGACGUGAUACCGAGCCGCUUCAGGCGAAGUCAUUAAUCCUAUGCUGCCUAGAAAAGCCCAGCAGCGAGUUGACAUGGUGCCCGUACCCCAAACCAACACAGGUGGACAGGUAGAGCAUACCAAGGCGAGUGGGAUAACUAUGGUUAAGGAACUCGGCAAACUUCCUCCGUAACUUCGGGAUAAGGAGGACCCCUGUAGCGUGACGAGACUUGCUCUCCGAGCGUGAAGGGGUGGCACAAAAUUGAGGGAAGCGACUGUUUACCAAAAACACAGCAGCGUGCUAAGCCGUAAGGCGCUGUAUACGCUGUGACUCCUGCCCGGUGCUGGAAGGUUACGGGGAUGGGUUAGUCCUUUGGGACGAAGCUCUGAACCUAAGCCCCAGUAAACGGCGGCCGUAACUAUAACGGUCCUAAGGUAGCGAAAUUCCUUGUCGGGUAAGUUCCGACCUGCACGAAUGGAGUAACGACUUCCCUACUGUCUCAACCAUAGACCCAGCGAAAUUGAAGUACGAGUAAAGAUGCUCGUUAGCUGCAGAAGGACGGAAAGACCCCGUGGACCUUCACUAUAACUUGAUGUUGUGUUUUGUCAUAUGUUGUGUAGGAUAGGUGGGAGACAAGGAAGCAUGGACGCUAGUCUGUGUGGAGUCAUCGUUGAAAUACCACCCUGCAUAUGGUGAGGCUCUAACCUAGACCCGUUAUCCGGGUUGGGGACAGCGUCAGGCGGGUAGUUUAACUGGGGCGGUUGCCUCCUAAAGAGUAACGGAGGCGCCCAAAGGUUCCCUCAGCCUGGUUGGCAAUCAGGCGUCGAGUGCAAUGGCAAAAGGGAGCUUGACUGCGAGACCUACAAGUCGAGCAGGAGCGAAAGCUGGGCAUAGUGAUCCGGCGGUUGCGUGUGGAAGC
Molecule: ribosomal RNA, 1347 nt
Filed under: metagenome
Description: bacterial LSU rRNA
Rfam family: Bacterial large subunit ribosomal RNA
Source: RNAcentral